CGCCUUGCCAGCCCGCUCAGAAACUUAAAGGAAUUGACGGGGGCCCGGCACAAACGGUGGAGUAUGUGGUUUAAUUCGAUGCAACGCGAAGAACCUUACCUGGUCUUGACAUCCCGGAGACCCUUAGGAAACUAGGGGGUGCUUCCAUCUGGAAGAAUCUGGAGACAGGUGCUGCAUGGCUGUCGUCAGCUCGUGUCGUGAGAUGUUGGGUUAAGUCCCGCAACGAGCGCAACCCUUGCCUUUAGUUGCCAGCAGUUCGGCUGGGCACUCUAAAGGGACUGCCGGUGUUAAACCGGAGGAAGGUGGGGAUGACGUCAAGUCCUCAUGGCCUUUAUGACCAGGGCUACACACGUACUACAAUGGCCGAUACAAAGGGCAGCGACACUGCGAGGUGAAGCCAAUCCCGUAAAAUCGGUCUCAGUCCGGAUUGGAGUCUGCAACUCGACUCCAUGAAGUUGGAAUCGCUAGUAAUCGUAGAUCAGCAUGCCACGGUGAAUACGUUCCCGGGCCUU
Molecule: ribosomal RNA, 512 nt
Filed under: uncultured Desulfobulbus sp.
Lineage: Bacteria; Pseudomonadati; Thermodesulfobacteriota; Desulfobulbia; Desulfobulbales; Desulfobulbaceae
Description: bacterial SSU rRNA
Rfam family: Bacterial small subunit ribosomal RNA
Source: RNAcentral